UAGGUAAUAUAAAAUUUAACUGUUAAUUAAAUUAUGUUAUUAAUAUAACUUAUCUAG
RNAcentral lists this transfer RNA (57 nucleotides) under Myzostoma seymourcollegiorum. RNAcentral describes it as "tRNA-Asn". The record is from RNAcentral. Lineage: Eukaryota; Metazoa; Annelida; Myzostomida; Myzostomatidae.